This is a long non-coding RNA of Mustela erminea (ermine), 380 nucleotides long. RefSeq lists it as uncharacterized. The transcript is spliced from 3 exons. The record is from RefSeq and is a predicted model, not a curated record. NCBI's taxonomy places the organism in Eukaryota, Metazoa, Chordata, Mammalia, Carnivora, Mustelidae.
GCUAUCUUUGGGGAUUGGGCUAUUGACUGGAAAGGGACAUGAAAAAAUCUUCAGGGUAGAUUCCUGGUUGCCUGGGAACCACCAGAGCCUGGGAAGAACCUGAAGAGCUGGAUGGAUUCAGUCCAAGGAGAGAAAGGGGUGACCAAAAUGAGGAAGAUUCCAGGCUAUAACACACAUGAAACUAUCAUACCAAAGGUUUUUUAUUUAGACAAUUCCAGAGACCACUGAGAAAUUGAGAUGGAGUAACAUAUUGUGAAAUAAAUAUUUCAUUUAGAUUUAGAAGAUCUGAGAUCAAGCCUUGCUUCAAACUUGACCUUGAAAAAUUACUUAACAUCUCAAGAUCUUCAUUUCUUCCUAGGCAAAAGCUGAUUGAUUCUGGG